Molecule: long non-coding RNA, 2757 nt
Organism: Columba livia (rock pigeon)
Lineage: Eukaryota; Metazoa; Chordata; Aves; Columbiformes; Columbidae
Exons: 2
Source: RefSeq, a predicted model, not a curated record
GGACCAAACUGAAUGAAAUUUCCAAAGCCGGCAGCCAAUAGCUCUCCGCAGUCAGCCCCAUCACUACAGAAACCGUAUCUCCAUCCCCAGCCUCCUGCGAGGAGCGUCGCAUCCCCGCGCGAAGCGCAGCGGCGGUGGCAGAGCCCGGCCCGGGGCCUGUGGUGCUGAACAGAUGCCUUGUUUCUACCUUCAUGUCAGAUCCUCAGAAGAGAUCCGAUAGUGCUUUGUCUUCUCAAAUCUGAAUUCUGGCUGUGAUAUCGGGCUUAUCAACCACUUCUAUGCUCUGCUGUUUCAAGUGGUAAAGGAAUAUAUACUCUCUGAUUUCAAUAUACUGUCUAGCAGACAACAGUAGGCCUGCUGUCUGUCUGUUCUUAUAAAGUGUUUUUUUAUGUGGUGAGAAGGACAGUUCCUUUAGCAUUACUUAUGAAGAUAUGCUUUGGGUUUGGAUGUUAUACAUCUAAGCACAGAUGAAAUUCACUGACUUUAAAUGUUUUAAGCAAUGCAAUGGAUACAUUAAACAGUUAACUUAUUUGUCAGUGAAAUCAUUAUUUUUAUAUUACUUAAUUAAAUGUUUUGCCUUCUUAUUUUAAGUGACUCUAGCAGCAGGUGUUCAUGCAAGUGAAUUUUACUGCUUUUGUUAUUUUAAUAAUGCACCCAGAAUGUGCAACCAAUCGUAUUGCCUGACUGAGAAACAUUUUGACACAUUUAGAAAAGAUGUCAUCUUGCACUGCCAUCUGUCCCAAAUUUUGCAGGACAGUCUUUAUUUUGAUGACUGUGUCAUGCAUUUAACAAGAUACUUUUGUGGGACAUUAAAGUAUGCACUAGUUAAUCUGAAUCUGAAUAAUCUGAAUAAUGAUCUCCCACCUGUUGUGAUAUCAUGAGGCAAUUUAUUUCAGGUUCCCAAAGGAUCAUGUCUAAUGUUUACAACUACUGUUUGCAACUAUGACCCGAAUAUUCUCAAACACAGCAAUGAAGUUGAACUUUUCACAGACUCUACACAAGUAUAUGAUCAAGGGAUUUAAGUAAAAGGCAUUUGGUCAGAACAGUGAAAUGUACUUUUCUCAUCUUACAACUUUCAAAAAGCUAAAUGUACAAUUUGGAGCUAUGACUUAUUUGGGAGGGCAUCUGCAGCAAUCCACUGCAUAUUUAUGACAGCAAGCAAGAGUCCAGGAGCAAUCAUUCAGAGAGAAGAAUGCCACUUGCUAAGUAACACCAUUGCUUCUUACAAGGAGGCAUUGUAUUCUAGUAUUAACCCAACUUGACUCUACUUGUAAACAGUGAAAUCUAAAGAAAUCACAGUACACAGCAGUCUGACUGAAGACAGGCCAAACUCUGCUGGGUUCCAUCCCAUGGAACCUUUUUUGUGUCACUCAAACUGAGGCAUGAUUUGGUCUCCCAUGUCCAAUCACUGUAAAAUUUCUACAAGUUCAUUUCUAAUUCAGAUAUAGCAUGUUGCAUACUGAUGCUCAAAUUAAUAUCAAGAAAGUAUAGCUGUUUGAAAAAAAAAAGAAAAUAAGAAGUACCUCUCAAAUUUUGGUGGGUAUUUUUUGGUUAGUUAUUCAUUCCAAACAAUUCAUAUUCAAAAUGCAAACUUGAAGCAGGACAAGAGAGACUUUCUACAAUUGCAUAAACAGCAAUUGACUCUUUGUCCCUCCCUGUUGUCUGCUUUGUCUUUUUCCUCAAAUAUUUAUAAAGCAAAUGGACUUCCUUUUUAAGCAAGGGUGAGCCAGUAUAGUCUUAAUACACUUUAUGCUGUUGGAACGGGAUGUUUCAGUAGCUUAAUUGUGUUUACUGAAUUUCAAGAAAGAAAUUUUUUCCUAUGUGUCUUAUCUUCUUACAGUUUGCUGAUAAAAAUUAAAAAGGUUGAUCUGUAACUGUUUUUACAGAAAAUUACAAAGAUUAACAAAAAUACUAACCAGAAAAUAUGCAUAUAUAUUUUCAAAUUCAAAAUUUUUCACUUAUAGUAAAAUGAAGUGCUCACUGUACUGCUGUGUAUGUUACAUGCCACAUAAAACAGAAAUAUACUGUAGAGUCCCGCCUGCGUGGCCAGUAUGACCAUUUCAGAGUAGUGUAUUGUGAGAACUAGUACUCAUUAGAGCUUCCCAAAGAUACAGUGUUUGUCAUGAUAUGUGCCUGCCUUUUUAAUUACAUCCUAAUUUCAUUCUCCUUAGCACUUUUUACUAAAAAUUUAGUGUUAUUUUCACCUUCUCAAAAAGGUUCAAACCCAAAAUAUUGUAGACAUAGAUAAUUGUACAGACAGAUCACCUAUUUAGGUCUUUUUUAGAGCACAAUAAUUUGUAGUUACAUGACUUCUGAGAUGCAACCUUAAAGUUCGUGGCAAGGGUACAGGCUUUAAUAGAGCCAGUGUUUCAGUCUUGGAAGAAUAGAAGCAGAUGCUGGGGUCUAGACUUACCUGUGUAAAGUCAAAGCUAGAAAAUAACUUUAUCAUUAUCUACAGAGAUCUUCCAUAUCAUUUAGCUAAACUGCUUCAUCAGAUGUUCUUUCUUUCUUUGCUUUAUUUUGUUUGUUUGUGGUUAUUUUUAAUAAAGCCAUCUAAUUACUGUUGUUCUAGAGAAUGUUAGUUUUCCAUUAUAAAAAAAAAAAAGGAAAUAUUUCACAUGGUGAAAAUUCUACAUAAUCUGUGUAAAUUUUGCCAGCAUAUAAUUAAUCUCACUGUAAAAAUAUUGUUCCUAACUUGCAGCCUUACAAAAUCAAACUUUACUUUGGCUUUGUAUAUUAAAGUGUUUUUUAGUAUUA